This 500-nucleotide ribosomal RNA is filed under the name uncultured bacterium. RNAcentral's name for it is "partial 16S ribosomal RNA". It matches the Rfam family "Bacterial small subunit ribosomal RNA", at positions 30 to 523 of the family's 1533-position model. The record is from RNAcentral.
AUUGAACGCUGGCGGCAUGCCUUACACAUGCAAGUCGAACGGCAGCGCGGACUUCGGUCUGUCGGCGAGUGGCGAACGGGUGAGUACUACAUCGGAACGUACCCUGUUGUGGGGGAUAACUAGUCGAAAGAUUAGCUUAUACCGCAUACGACCUGAGGGUGAAAGUGGGGGACCGCAAGGCCUCACGCAGCAUGAGCGGCCGAUGUCUGAUUAUCUAGUUGGUGGGGUAAAGGCCCACCAAGGCGACGAUCAGUAGCUGGUCUGAGAGGACGAUCAGCCACACUGGGACUGAGACACGGCCCAGACUCCUACGGGAGGCAGCAGUGAGGAAUUUUGGACAAUGGGGGCAACCCUGAUCCAGCAAUGCCGCGUGUGUGAAGAAGGCCUUCGGGUUGUAAAGCACUUUUGUCCGGAAAGAAAUCGCGCUGGUUAAUACCUGGCGUGGAUGACGGUACCGGAAGAAUAAGCACCGGCUAACUACGUGCCAGCCGCCGCGGUAA